GAGCUUGAGUUCUACAUCAGUGAGAAACCUGCGGGUGCGCAAAGAGGUCGUGGUCGCCGCCGUCUCCUCCAAUACCGGCACAAAUGUUUCUUACAACGAGAUAACUAGUCGUUAGAGAGCAGCCAUGGAGGAGCUACUGUCACUAAAGUGGAACAACCAUCGUACCACUUUCAUCCACAUUUUGGGUGUUCUCAGGGAUAAGCAAGCGUAUACGGAUGUCACGCUGGCAUGUGAUGGCAAGUUCUACAGUGUGCACAAGUUGGUGCUUUCAACGUGUAGUGAUUAUUUCUGUGCCAUGUUUGACAAGACAGCUUGUAAGAGCCCAGUUAUAGUGCUAAAAGACAUUAAAUGUGAGGAUCUAGAAGCCUUGCUUGACUAUAUGUACCUUGGUGAAGUGAAUGUGCGACAAUGUGACUUAGCCUCUUUAAUAAAGGCGGCGGAAAACUUGAGAAUUAAGGGCCUUGCUGUACCUGACGAUGAACCUCCUAAUAAAGGCACGGUGGCUGCACCUACUUCACGAAGUGAACCAGUUAGAAGAGAUGGAGGAAGUGGUAGCCCUCCAACAAAAAGAAAACGAAGGGAUGAAGGCGAAGACGGUCGGGAAGACGUUAGACCGCCUCCACCGUCGCAGGGUAGUUUACACACACCUCCACCUCCAUCUAGACCAAAGAGCCCUGUUAGUCAGCGGCUAAGCCCCUCCCCCCAUAGAACAUCUCAGGAGUCCCCCAUUUUGGAAGAUCGUACCAGCCGUCCCCUCUCCUCACCAGUGGAACAACCCCCUCCAGCACCUCGGGCAUCAUCACAACCCCCUGCUCAGUCGUCGUCUUCUCAACCACCAGUCAAUCAGUACACGCCGGAUGAGACUCCAUCUUUUGUAAAGGUGGAGAUGGAGGAAGAACAGCCUGAUGAUAUGCACGGAGACUCUUACGACUUAAGUACGGACGGUUAUAAGGAAGAAGGGGACGAAUCUGGAAGUGGAAUGAAUAGUGAUUUACCUGAGUUCCUACAAGCUGCUGCCUCUGGAGCCUUAGCCAGUAGUACUGCGUCUUAUCCUCACCACUCCUUUGCUGGACCCUCUGGCUAUCAGCCGGGUGACCUGGCUGGCUGGCAGGGUGACGGAGCAUCUUUAGGGUUUCCCGCGCAUCUAAACUUCACCUCAGACAGUUCUAGUCAACAGAAUGCACCCGGGGGCAUGGGGAUAGGUGAUGUCGGUGCUAUGAGAAGUUUGAGUCUUUGUAGACUGAGAGCGGUUGUGAGUUCCCACUGCAAGCGACACUUGUGCCCCUACUGCGGAAAGGGCUUUCAGUCCCCGAAGGACCUCCGGCGACACGUUCUGACUCACACGGGGGAGAAGCCUUUUCUCUGCCCAUACUGUGGUCACAGAGCUAAUCAGAAGAGCAACUUGAAGUCUCAUAUGCUGUGUGUACAUAAUACAGAUAUUUUGUGAAGCUGUCAAGUUCCCUUUAUACAGACACAACAAUACGGCUCAAUUCAUCACCGGUGCCAGAGGGCAUGGGUGUCCGUGAAUUGGAAAGUUUGAGUGACAGUAGACUGAGAGUCAUCUUGGGUUCCAACAGCAAGAGACACUAUUGUCCCCAAUGUGGCAAGAGCUUUCAGUCCCCCAAGGACCUAAGAAGACACAUACUAAC
This 1649-nucleotide unclassified non-coding RNA is filed under the name Homarus americanus (American lobster). RNAcentral describes it as "longitudinals lacking protein, isoforms A/B/D/L-like, transcript variant X1". The record is from RNAcentral. Lineage: Eukaryota; Metazoa; Arthropoda; Malacostraca; Decapoda; Nephropidae.